Molecule: transfer RNA, 74 nt
Filed under: Greslania sp. McPherson 19217
Lineage: Eukaryota; Viridiplantae; Streptophyta; Magnoliopsida; Poales; Poaceae
Description: tRNA-Lys
Source: RNAcentral
UGGGUUUCGAUCGUAUCUAAGAUCCUAUUUUAUCUGGGUUGCCGGGUUCGAGUCCCGGGCAACCCAUAUGGAAA